UACCUGCUCUAGAGCUUUGAACCAGAUUGCCUGAGGCCCCUGUUGCCAUGCAUCCGAGUUCAACUUCUCCCUCUGCCCGGGUCUGCUUCCCUCCCUCUGUUGCUGGUGCUACUCUGUUGCUGAUCACUCUCCAGUGAGUCCGCUGCAUGGAGAUCUCCGUCUUUGAUCUAUUUCUAGGGCACCUGACCUACUACUACAGUUGGUGCUAGAAGUGAUUCCUAGGAAACAGACACUGAAAUGGGAUUUUGGAGCUGGCUCACCCACAGGCCAGUGGGUAACGAGAACCCCACCCCUGGUGGUGGGUGGAGGUGCUGAUGGCCCCUGACAUGCUCUGGCAGUGCAGUUGUGAAAGCUUGUCCCAGCGCUGACGUCGGGUGGACCUGCGGGAUGGAUGCACUCGUGGAAGGGGCUGCACUGGCAGGUGUCAUCUCUCAGACAUUUGAGAAGCUCGGAGGAGGUAGUAAUUAUGAAGUCUGUGGAAUUAGGUGAUUGUUGCUGUGGGCAAUUGAUGCAUUGGACAAAGGUAAUGAAAGGCUGAGGGUGAUUAAUCGCCAAUUUCAGGUGAAGUGUGAAAGCCAGAGGGCCUCCUUGCCAGCAGAUAAAGAGACUUUCUCCUACAGCUGGAGGGCAGAAAAAAAUCUGAGGUUUGGCUCAGGAAUGAAUUAGAAGGGUAGCAGAUUUCCAAAGAAAAUUGAAUUCUCACUAUAGCAAGUCAGCUAGGCUUUGGUUGGUUGGGACUUGGUUGGGGGCUCUGAUAUUUCAGACAGGGACAUCGGGAUUGAUUCCCUUGAAUACCUGGAAGCCCUGUGGUCACCCUGAGCCCUCUGAGGCAGCAGAGUGUCCUUUGCCUUCCUGUUAAAGACGGGAGGUUUCCUGGCUGGAAGAUGGCGCAGGGGCUUCUAUCUCGCAAGAUGCCACGUGUCAUGCACUCUCCCCAGCCUCCUGCCCCAGGGUGGUCUCCCACCUCCCCUUCCCACUGCCAGACCUGUAACUUGGGCUAAGCUGCAACAUAACCCCCUGCUCAGGGAGGGCUCAGCCGGGCUACACCAGCCCGGAGCCGGGAGUUUACUUCAUUUCUCUCCCCGUCCAGUCUCGACCUUCCACGUUGCAGUCAGAGGAAUCUUUUCAGAGAGAGAUCUCAUGUCUCUGCCCCGCUCAGAACUCCUCCGUGGCUCCCUGUUGCCUCAAGAGCAUGUGGAAGUCAUUAGUGUUGUUUGUCAAAUAUUUCUGGCGAUGCACCUGCUGAACACAUGGAAGGAUUGCACUUCUUGGCCCUCUUGUGGUUGGGUGAAGCCUUGUGAUGAAUUCUGGCCAAUGAGUAGUGAAUGGAAGUGACUUGUGCCAUGUGUGGGCACUUAAUUGCUGUGUGAGGCCCUCCAGAGCUCUCUUUUCCUCUGCCUGGGUGACUGGCAGGGGCUGAGAUGGUGUCUGCUCCGUCAGUUGGAUGAGGAUUCAUGGAGCAGAGCCCCAACCAACCCAUCAUGCCCAAGCAGCACGAGUAAGAGAUAAUAUUUAUUGCUUUAAGCCACUAAGAAGAAGGGGUUGUCUGUUAUGGGAGUAUGACCAAGGCUAUUCUGCCUGACACGAGGGUCCUGGCUUGACCCAAGCUGAACUCGUUCUGGCAUUCAGAUCUGAGCCACAAAUUUUCAGACUCAGGAGCCAUUGAUGGAAGGGGAGGCCAAGGCCUCUUGAGGAAGGACUCUGCAAUGCCACUUCAAAUGGGAAGGAGAAACUUGGAGAAGUGGAAAUGACUUCACCCAGCCAAGAACAUGGUGGAGCUGAGCCAGCUGGUCAAACCCAUGUUUCCCUUGGCUCAUGUCACGGAAGGUGUAGGUACAGACGAGUAGAUCCAGCCAAGUCCAGCAGCAAUGCUGAAAGUACAGUAUGUUGGCGUGCUUGACAGUGACUGGGGGCACGAGGGGCCCUGCUCUGGUGUGCGGAAUCCACUCCAAAGAGCGACGUUCAUACGGAGAUUUCAACGAGAAGAAGCCAAUCAAAGGGAGGUCUAGAGGAAGAAUGUUCCACAUCGAGGGAGCCAUCGGUGCGAAGGCCCUGGGAUUGGAAUACACUUUACCAACUCACCACAUGCAGACACCUGUUUCUGAGUCCCUCUCUCCGUUGGACAAGGAGCUCCUCGAACACCAGGAUUGCAGCUGACACAGCUCUGAGAGCCCAGGACCCCGCACACAGCCCAGCCCGGCGUGGAUGCCUGACAACUUGACAAAUGCUUCCUAGGUUGGCGUGAACUCUUUGGGUACGGAAGUCAUUGACAGAAGCACUAGGUGAGCAAGCACCCUUCAUUUAAACAAAUAAUAAGAUUAGAAGCACGGCAACAUGCUACUUACCAUAACAUUUAAACAAACUCUGUGCUUCCUAGGAAUCUUGGCCUCUGGAGGUUGAGUUUCUAAGUGUUUACCAAAAACAACAAUAGCCUAUGAUAGUCAAAGUUUGAAUCGUCUCUCUCAAGGACUGUUCCCUUGUUACCUUGACACUAUGAAUGUUUGUUAAGAAAGAAUCUGUUUGUUAGAAUACUUCUCGUAAAUACUUGUGUUGGAAAGAAUACGUUUGUUAAAAUACUUUCUGUGUUCCUGUAAAUACUCGUGUUUGUGCGCUUACGGUUGUAAACCUGUGUUUGUCGCAGGUUGCUGCAUAUGCUGCCUGUUUUUUUUGUUUUUUUUCUAAUGAAUCCACCAAUGUAGAAGAACUGUGCAUCUCUUUAUUAAGCCAUGAGUGUAAGCUGUCUUCCUUGUUCAAGAUGUAUGCAAAUAAAAACCAAAGAAUUUUGAUCACGCAACCUUCUGGAGUCAGA
Microcebus murinus (gray mouse lemur) is the source of this 2809-nucleotide non-coding RNA. The record is from RefSeq and is a predicted model, not a curated record. Lineage: Eukaryota; Metazoa; Chordata; Mammalia; Primates; Cheirogaleidae.